ACGGAAGGCAGCAGUGGGGAAUAUUGGACAAUGGGGGAAACCCUGAUCCAGCGACGCCGCGUGAGUGAAGAAGUAUUUCGGUAUGUAAAGCUCUAUCAGCAAGGAAGAAAAUGACGGUACUUGACUAAGAAGCUCCGGCUAAAUACGUGCCAGCAGCCGCGGUAAUACGCAUGGAGCAAGCGUUAUCCGGAUUUACUGGGUGUAAAGGGAGCGUAGACGGCAAAGCAAGUCUGAAGUGAAAUCCCGGGGCUCAACCCCGGAACUGCUUUGGAAACUGUUUAGCUAGAGUGCAGGAGAGGUAAGCGGAAUUCCUAGUGUAGCGGUGAAAUGCGUAGAUAUUAGGAGGAACACCAGUGGCGAAGGCGGCUUACUGGACUGUAACUGACGUUGAGGCUCGAAAGCGUGGGGAGCAAACAGGAUUAGAUACCCUGGUA
Molecule: ribosomal RNA, 434 nt
Filed under: uncultured Lachnospiraceae bacterium
Lineage: Bacteria; Bacillati; Bacillota; Clostridia; Lachnospirales; Lachnospiraceae
Description: bacterial SSU rRNA
Rfam family: Bacterial small subunit ribosomal RNA
Source: RNAcentral